UCAGACAGAGUUUCACUCAGUCGCCCAGGCUGGAGGCAAGACCCGUUCUCAAAAAUAAACACAGGAAAAAAUAUAUAUAUCAGCAAGAUACACAAUAACAAAACUAUAACUAUUCCAGCCAUUUAUCAAGCAAAGAAUUAGGGAAAAAACUUUUUCAGCUUUGUGAUGUCUCAAAAAAAUCUAAUUCAAAGGAUUAGUGGCAAAACAAGCUGAUAUAUAGGAUUUUUGGUUAAACCAUUUUCCCCUUACAAAACAGAGAAGAAUGUGUGUUCCCUGUUUGUUUGCCAAAGUCAGCAGUAUCUGAAGAACUGCUGGAUGGCAAGAUUAUGCAUAUUCAUAACCAUACACCUGACAUAAUUUAAUAUGCGGAAAGAUCUAAAAGAUUUUAUCUGAUUUGAGUAAGUCCAGUUCUUUUUAUAUUUCCAUCCUGGAAAGCAUAAGCCACAUUGGCCAGGGUAAAAUAUAAUCAGAUUGGUUAAAGAGGAUGUGAGGCCUGAUCCUAAUAGAAAUGUUUGAAAGGGUUCAGGCAUGGUGGCUCAUGCCAGUAAUCCCAGCACUUUGGGAGGCCAAGGUGGGAGGAUCACUUGUGGUCAGGAGUUUGAGACCAGCCUGGCCAACAUGGCGAAACCCUGUCUCUAAAAAUACAAAAAUUAGUCGAGUGUGGUGGCACAUGCCUGUGAUACCAGUACUCGGGAGGCUGAAGCAGGAGAAUCGCUUGAACCUAAAAGGCAGAGGUUGCUGUAAGCCGAGAUUGCACCACUGCACUUCAGCCUGGGCAACAGAACAAGACUUUAUCUCAAAAAUAAAAAUAAAAAAUAAAAAAAGAAAUUUUUGAAAGGAAUAUGACAGCAAAAUAAAUAAAUAAAUAGUUAUCAGUUUAUCUCAAUCUUGGAGCUAAGUAGAAGAGAAAAUCUUAACACAAUAGACUAUUCUAAGCAACAUAACAUUUAUACUGAGUGCUAUAGUGGCACUGCCCCAAAAAGCAUUAAUUCUGCUUCAGUUUAUCAAAAAUGGCUUAACAAGAGAAAACAGUGAUGGACCAUGAAGAACUAGAGUUCCAUUAGGAAGGAAGCAACAAGCUAUGUCAGUAUUAUGUGUAUUUCUACUAAACAUUUAUCAUCCCCUGACUUACAUCCCAUAGGGAUGGGCACAGACAGUGCUCAAGUAUUGAAUGUUCUGCUAUUUUCUUAUGGCAUCACUUAAUUCACACUUACAGAAUAAUCUCAAAAAUAACAAGUUUGGCCAAUGAAUAGCAAUAGACCAAAGCUUUUAGCUGGAUUUCUAAAAAAUUCAGGAAAACUGAUCAGAAUUUUGAUUUUCCUGUCUGAGGGCAUCUUAUACUGAAGUUACCAAUAAAUAAGUAUCAAAGCUAUACUAUCAAUAUCCCCAAAUGAAUAACCUCCUGAAUGAACAAAAACAGCACAUCUUUGUAUUUUCUACUUAAUUUGCAAAAGGUUAUAUUUGAGAUAGUCUAAGGACAAAAUAAUAAGGCCUAAGAAUACUAAGAGAGCAUUUAAAUCCUAAAUACCUAAAAUAGUAUACUAAUAUUAAAGUCAUUGCCAAUUCAUUAGCAUGUUUGAUAAAUAGCAGAAAGCUGGACUUCAGGUCCUCUGGGUGACCCAGCUAUUCAAAGCCAUUCAUAUUCUGGUCCUAAUCCAACCUUUCCAGAUUCAUUUAUUUCUUCUCUCCUUGCACCCUCUGUUCCUGCUACAGUGGACUACUACUCAAACACACCUUUCACGACUCAAUACCUUGUUACGAGAUGUUCUCAGGCUCAGAUGUCCUUCCCGAUUUAAAACUGACUGAUCCUUUUAAAACAGGGACAUGUAACCUCCUCAGUGAAAUAACCCUAAGCAUAAUCAUUCGGUUAUCCAGGUUCCCAGAACAUGCUGCUUGUUCUUCUACUUAAGCAUGCAUUUGGCCUCAUGAGAGAAUGAGGACAUACACAUCUGUUUCCCCUAUCAGACCGUAAAAUUUUGGAUGGCCUCAGUCUGUUACCUCUCACAGACUAAUACCGAUCCAAAUACCCAGAAAGAAUAUAUGAAACAAAAGUGACUUAGAAGUCUCGUUCUCAGUGAACAUCUCGGAUUCCAAGUCAGAAAUCAAAGAAUGCAGUUCCAACUUCUCAUGCCUCGUCUUUUCUGAAAAGUGAUCCCAUUUUCUGUCAUCUCUGCAUACUUCCUAAUGAACUCGUCUAUUCCCAACGUUUUCCUAAUUUGCACACUCUGUAUUCCAUAAAACGAUCAACUAGCUUGAAAGCUUCGGCCAUUAAUGAAAGUAAUUUAUCUUUUCCUCUUCCAUCUGCUCCUCCAAUAACCAGUCUCCAAAGAAAAAGAUCAAUAUUAUACUAAAAGUGACUAAGGGAGGGAAAACAACUACCAGAUUUUAUCCCCAAAUCGUUUUGUGCAAGAAAAAUAAGAAAGUAACUGACGCUUGAAGACACACAAGGGUAGGAGUAACGGAAUCUAGGUUUAACCAAAUUCGAUUCAGUCUGCCGGAAAAGCGGCUGCCGUAUUUCAGUGCUUUUCUGACCCUCUUCUGCACGAACUAUGCGGACGACAGUGUCGAGAGGCGACCCUGUCCCCACGCCCGCUUCCCCGAUCCCUUGCCCACGAAUCCUACCGAGGAAGCCGCUUAAACGAGGCCCUCUGGUCAAAGAGAAGCUACUCUGAAGUAGCAGGUCCCAAACACUGAACAAAGCGCCUGUCGGGGGUGUAAGAGGAGGACGCCAUUACGCGGGGCAGUGGCCUGCGCCGCUGGCGCGGCGGAGACGACCCUUGGCCCCGAAACGCGGGCUCGGCUCCUACGAAAGAAACCAUAGGAAAAGGCAGAAUCCUAGGAAGAAAGGCUUUUAUUAGGCUAGCAACGAAGAAAACACGUAAGCCCGGAAAGACCGCUUACCUUCGUGAGUCUUGGCGAUCUUCGCCAUUUUGUCCACUCGAACACACAGACGGAACUGGCGCUCCCAAGAACUUCCGCUCGUCGCCGCCGUCACGGAGAAAAAUAGCUGAGGUCUGCACUCUGCGCGUGCGCCAAACGGGAGCGCGCUCCGUCGGGUGACACGUGACAGAGCUGCCACCUAGAGGGAACCGCGAGGUGCAUUGUGGGUGGGGGAGGAGACACGGUUGGGCCCUGAAGCCGCCUGCGUGGUGAUCCAGGAAAUACCCGAGCUGAGCCGUAAGGUCCUUAAGUGAGUAACUUUGCCCUGGAGGAAAGUCGAUUCUACGAGGGGAGUUAAGAACAGACACUGAGGGCCGGGCGCGGUGGCUCAAGCCUGUAAUCCCAGCACUUUGGGAGGCCGAGGCGGGUGGAUCACGAGGUCAGGAGAUCGAGACCAUCCUGGCUAACACAGUGAAACCCCGUCUCUACUAAAAAAUACAAAAAAUUAGCCGGGCGUGUUGGCGGGCGCCUGUGGUCCCAGCUACUCGGGAGGCUGAGGCAGGAGAAUGGCGUGAACCCAGGAGGUGGAGGUUGUGGUGAGCCGAGAUCGCGCCACUGCACUCCAGCCUGGGGGACAGAGAAAGACUCCGUCUCAAAAAAAAAAAAAAAAAAAAAAAAGAACAGACACUGAGUCCCAGCAACUCUGGAGGCUGAGGCGGGAGCAUCGCUUGAGCCCAGGAGUUCGAGGCAGCCGUGAGCCAUAAUCGUGUCGCGCCACUGUACUUAAGCCUCCAGACCGGGCGACAGAGCAAGACCCCGAGACCCCUUCCAUAAAAAAAAAAAAAAAAAAAAAAAAAAAUGAACACUGUACGAAACACUGCGGUUUCAGAGCUGGAAGAGACCUCAGACAUUCAAUCCCUUUUCCCAAAAUUCACCGGAAGAGCUCGAGGAAAACUUUCCCUUGCAGCUGUCUCAGUCUUUACAGUGCUUAGUUACGAAGACAGUCUUAAGAGUCUCAUCUUUCGCCCUGUAAUUCAAGGUCAUUUUUCAUUCUUUCUGUUUAAUAAUUGCAAAUACUUCGGGUAGGAAUUUCGUUGAGCCUCACAAAUCGUUACUGAGUUGCACAAUGAGAAUCUUGCCACCCUUUGAAAGCCUUUUACUUUAUGGGUUAUUAGGAAACCACUCAUCGUCAUUAUUAACAUUCAUUAGAUGUUUCUCUUAAAUCCUACACGGUAUUCUAAAUCAGGAAUUUUAAUAGAUCAGAAUACGGCAGUCUGUUUUCCUAGGCAUCAAUUAUAAUAUAACCUUGUACUGUCACACUGGUCUUGGACUUCGACGAUGAAAAAGAAAGAAAGGCUCAGAAAGAUGGGUCCUGGAAGCAGCCCAGGAAAACAGAUUGGAGUGCAAUGGUGCGAUCUCAGCUCACCGCAACCUCCACCUCCUGGGUUCAAGCGGUUCUCCUGCCUCAGCCUCCGAAGUAGCUGGGAUUACAGGCAUGCACCACCACACCUGGCUAAGUUUUGUAUUUUUAGUAGAGACGGGGUUUCUCCAUGUUGGUCAGGCUGGUCUCGAACUCCUGACCUCUUGAUCCACUCGCCUCCGCCUCCCAAAGUGUUGGGAUUACAAGCGUGAGCCACCGCACCCAGCCAAAAAUUUCUUAAAAUCAUCUAGUAUCCAGCUUUCAAAUUUCUUAGUCUCAUAUACAUUUUUUUAUAUUUAGUUUGCACAAAAGAAAAUCAAAAUAAAGCCUUUUACAUCUUUUAAAUCUACAACUGUCUCCCCCUUCCCUUCGUUUUUUACUUGAUAUUUACUCACU
Long non-coding RNA from Symphalangus syndactylus (siamang), 4696 nucleotides. RefSeq lists it as uncharacterized. NCBI's taxonomy places the organism in Eukaryota, Metazoa, Chordata, Mammalia, Primates, Hylobatidae. The record is from RefSeq and is a predicted model, not a curated record.